Molecule: long non-coding RNA, 886 nt
Filed under: Helianthus annuus (common sunflower)
Lineage: Eukaryota; Viridiplantae; Streptophyta; Magnoliopsida; Asterales; Asteraceae
Description: sRNA HanXRQr2_Chr14g0642501
Source: RNAcentral
UGCUGAAAAACACGCCCUGCAAACACCCGACAGCUCCUUUUUAAGAGACUGUGGUACCUCUGCGGUUGUGGCGGUUGGAUACUUGUAACAACGGUGAAGUAGAGCGUUAACCACCGCCAGUAGCCGCUCCUCUGGUAGGGUCACAAAUCUUGAACCGAUUUCAGUCAGUAAACUCUCAAGUUCACUAGCUAAGUUGGUGUGUUUGCUUCUAAGUGCUUCCAUUAUAUCUUUAGCAGCAUCAAAAGCACUAGUAGCAGAAGCAACUAAACCCAUAGCAUAAUUACGCCUCAUCGCAUUCUGACCACCAUCAUUAACAGAAGGAUUCUGCUGGUCAUUACCAGUACCACCAAGCGCACUGCCUUCAGUAACUGUGGACCGUUCAGGUUCUUGACCCUGAGAGUUACCACCAUCGUGUGACCCAGCGGGACCAGUUGACUGGGUUCCUUGUGGACCGUUCAUGUCUGACGCCGAAGACCCGACAGCUUGUCUGGCAUUCCCGUCAGCUCCACCAACCAUGUUUUGUUGCAGCCUUUGCUGAGCCAUUGCCAUUCUGCCAAAUUCAGAUUUGUUCGCAACAUCACGACGCUCGAGCAAAUAUGUUCGAAGCCAGUAAUAUAGUGCCUAAAGAUACACGGUUGCAACUUUGAGCAGAACGAGUUUGCAAUGUGGGGCUUCGGAUCUUUGUAAAGAGAGUAAUAGUUGGGGAAUCCACGAAAGCCAGACCCAAUGAGGUAUUUGAUCAACGUAUUUAUCAAAAGCUCGACCCACAGGCUCAUUGGGAGUGUCAAAGCUGAGAAGGUAUAAAACACGAGCUAGAUGGCUUCUGGAAUUCGGAAUGCCAAAUUUAAUACCUUGAAGAAAACAACUCACAGCAUACUCUAACCAA